Molecule: long non-coding RNA, 151 nt
Organism: Girardinichthys multiradiatus
Lineage: Eukaryota; Metazoa; Chordata; Actinopteri; Cyprinodontiformes; Goodeidae
Exons: 2
Source: RefSeq, a predicted model, not a curated record
GCGCAACCUUUCAAACACAACCAACCUGUCAGACUCAGUUACUCACCUUCCCUGGACAACCAUCUUCAUCACCAAACAUGUUCGUCCAGAUCCUGUUAUAGAACCCUGAAGUUCUCUACCUUGUAUUUCUCAAUAAAUCACAUAAAAACUG